This 1946-nucleotide long non-coding RNA is filed under the name Nicotiana tabacum (common tobacco). RNAcentral describes it as "long non-coding RNA (NTAB_LNC019116)". The record is from RNAcentral. Lineage: Eukaryota; Viridiplantae; Streptophyta; Magnoliopsida; Solanales; Solanaceae.
AAAAAUUUCCUACCCGACCCAAUUCCCUAGACCUAAAGGGAUGAGGAUCACAAUAGAGAUUAGAUUUUUAGGCCUAAGCUAAAGAGAAAAAUGGAAAACAGACCCUUAUACCAAAAAACGAGCUGCUCUAUCUUCUUCACAAGCUAACCAUCGGAUCCUAAUCUUCAGCAGCUAACGACGACCCCCUCCCUAUCAUUCUUCUUUCUUUUUCUUUAAUCCAUAUUCGUGCACGCCCUUGAAGAUCUGGUUGAAGAAGUCACAAGAAAGAAGCGAAAAUUCCAAAAUCGGAUUUGAAAAGCUAAACAAGUUGAAUUUCUUAAAAAUCUGGAUUUCUAGUUGUCUCUCAGAGUCAAAAUCACCGUUGUUCAUUGUUGAAGCUGUUGUAUCUGCGUAGCUGAACUCUCUCCGAUUUUCUUGACCUUUAUUUGGGUUCAUUUCCUUCUUCUUGUGAUAAAUUCAAGGUAAAUGUUCUUAUAUCUCGCUAAAUGUGCUGAGUUUUGUAAGAUCUUAUAGUUUUUAUGGUGCUGAAAUUGAAUUGCAUUCUUGGAAUCAUGAUUUCGAUUAUUAGAUCUGUUUUAUUGGUGUUUAUAUGUUAACGACUAAGUUAUGCUAAUGACUUGGGUCUGAGUUUUUUAAAAUUGGAGUUAGUUGUUAAUCUGUGUCAUUUGGUUUCUAUUGUUGUUCUGUACUUUCAUGAUUUAUUCGUUGUUCAAAUGUUGACAUUUAUUUGCUUAAUUUUAUUGUUUUCCCCAGUAUUAGUUUGAUGUUCUUACUGUUAAAUCUCAUCCGCUAUUACAAACUCUGUAUGACUAUGAGACUCGGUUAAAAAUAGUAUAUUGGGCUUUAUAUCCAUCUAGCCACCAACAGACAAAUAAUAUGUCGAUAUUUUUUUUCCAGAAACAUAAUGAAGUACGACAUUAAGUUAUAUUUUAAGAGGAGUAGACAACCUUUUGCCAGUAUAUGAAAAGAAGAAGCAUUUGCAAAAUCUGAGCCUCCUUCGUAUCAUGAGGAACUUUUAAAAUUAUGUUUAAAUGUAAUGAAUGCAUAUGUUUGGAUUUGUUUGGCCACACUUGUAAAAUUGUUAUGAUUUACAUUGAUUUAUAUAUGUAAUAAGCUCACUCGAACUUGGAACGUUAUUUCACUCUCAUUAGUCUAUUGAUUUGUCCAUGGUCUGAUGAAUGCAUAAUUGUUAACAUGUCGCAGGGACUUGAGUUUGUUACUGAAUCAAUGACUAACCCCAUUUCCAAAAACGAUUCUCAUAAUUCGUGGCUUUGCAAUAACCUCAAAUUUAGGAAAAGAAAUAAUUCCGAACAUCAUAGCUUGCUUUAGGUGCGAUUAAUAAACCAUCGUGAUUGUGGGUACGGUUCCCGUGACAUAGUUACGAUGCCUAACUUCCUUAAACUCGGGUGUGCAUUUAUGUGACCCAAAUCCAAAUCUCAACAACGUUAGAUAAAAUGUGUCGUGGAUCGCGGGUGCAUUUAUGUGACGUGGUUCAAGAUGUAUUUUAGAUGACGUUGAAUCUUCCUAAAAUUAAUUAAAAGCGGUUAAUAAGUUAAAAUUGUACCAUAGGCUAAAACAUGUACUAAAAUCAAGUAAAUAGGUCAAUUAUGACAGUUGAGCGACCGUUCUAGAACCACGGAACUCGGGAAUGCCUAACACCUUCUCCCGAGUUAACAAAAUUCCUUACCCGGAUUUCUGUGUUCGCGGAUCGAUAAUAGAGUCAAUCCUUUCCUCGAUUCGGGAUUUAAACCGGUGACUUGGGACACCAUAAAUUAUCCCAAGUGGUGACUCUGAAUUUCAAAUUAUCCCGGUGACUCUGUCACUUAAAUUGGAAAAACUUCCCCUAUAUACUACCCUUUCGGGGUGUAGGAAUAAAUGAGGUGUGACAGCUCUGGCGACUCUGCUGGGGAUUUAACCGAGAAUCUCUGGUUCAGGGUUCAGAAUUC